GUGGCGGGUGGCUGAGUGGUUGAAAGCGCAACCAAAACACCCUUGGUUUGCACCUUACCCGGAAGGGACGAAAAAUUAAGGUUAUCGGUAGUAUUGAGGAAACUCAAUCGCAGGUUCAAAUCCUGCUCCGCCACACCA
Molecule: transfer RNA, 138 nt
Filed under: Limnofasciculus baicalensis BBK-W-15
Lineage: Bacteria; Bacillati; Cyanobacteriota; Cyanophyceae; Coleofasciculales; Coleofasciculaceae
Description: tRNA-OTHER
Rfam family: tRNA
About the family: Transfer RNA (tRNA) molecules are approximately 80 nucleotides in length. Their secondary structure includes four short double-helical elements and three loops (D, anti-codon, and T loops).
Source: RNAcentral